GAUGAUGAUGAUGAUGAUGAAUUCUCCAAACAGGAUCGUCUAAAGCACUAACAAUCAUGUUUCUUCUUCAGACGAGACAUGGUGUGCCCAGCGGAAUGUUCUCUCGGUGACCUUGACCUUCUGAGCAAGAGGAACAGCUUCACCUGGAAACGGAAGUUCGGAGAUUUCAGUUUCGACGACUAUCUGUUCAUGAAGCUUCUGGGCCGGAACCUGGGAGACAGACACUAGGACGUCAGAGAUUCGAAGCAUCGUCUGCGAGCAGCUUCCGGGAACUAGUCACGUGACAUCUGCCAUUCCACGUGACAUUCUAACCACGCAAAUAGAUGCGUACUGUAAAAAGGGUGUUGUACUUGCACUACCUUCACAGAAUUUGUUUUGUGUUUUUGAACAACUCUCUAAGCUUCAACUUGACAAGCAUAGGGGCUUAUAAUUUGUUUCGUUUUUAAUUUGAUAAGGAAUUUAGAAUAGCAAUGUUUGCUGUGUAUAUUAAUGUUAUUGUACCCAGUGACCAAUCUCAGAGUUUUGAAUAGAUCUAUCUACCUUUUCUGGAAAACGUUUAUCAAAA
This is a long non-coding RNA of Aplysia californica (California sea hare), 565 nucleotides long. RefSeq lists it as uncharacterized. The record is from RefSeq and is a predicted model, not a curated record. The transcript is spliced from 3 exons. NCBI's taxonomy places the organism in Eukaryota, Metazoa, Mollusca, Gastropoda, Aplysiida, Aplysiidae.